GAAUUCACUAGUGAUUCAGGCAUAACACAUGCAAGUCGAGGGGGGUUUUCGGACAUAGCGGCGGACGGGUGAGUAAUGCGUAGGAAGCUACCCGACAGAGGGGGAUACCAGUUGGAAACGACUGUUAAUACCGCAUAAUGUCUACGGACCAAAGUGUGGGACCUUCGGGCCACAUGCUGUCGGAUGCGCCUACGUGGGAUUAGUUAGUUGGUGAGGUAAUGGCUCACCAAGGCGACGAUCCCUAGCUGGUUUGAGAGGAUGAUCAGCCACACUGGAACUGAGACACGGUCCAGACUCCUACGGGAGGCAGCAGUGGGGAAUAUUGGACAAUGGGCGCAAGCCUGAUCCAGCCAAGGCGCGUGUGUGAAGAAGGCCUUCGGGUUGUAAAGCACAUUGAGCGAGGAGGAAGGGUUGUGUGUUAAUAGUACACAGCCUUGACGUACUCGCAGAAGA
RNAcentral lists this ribosomal RNA (453 nucleotides) under uncultured bacterium. Its description in RNAcentral is "bacterial SSU rRNA". It matches the Rfam family "Bacterial small subunit ribosomal RNA", at positions 34 to 488 of the family's 1533-position model. The record is from RNAcentral.